This 690-nucleotide ribosomal RNA is filed under the name Salmonella enterica subsp. arizonae. RNAcentral describes it as "partial 23S ribosomal RNA". It matches the Rfam family "Bacterial large subunit ribosomal RNA", at positions 2249 to 2925 of the family's 2925-position model. Lineage: Bacteria; Pseudomonadati; Pseudomonadota; Gammaproteobacteria; Enterobacterales; Enterobacteriaceae. The record is from RNAcentral.
GGACAGUGUCUGGUGGGUAGUUUGACUGGGGCGGUCUCCUCCUAAAGCGUAACGGAGGAGCACGAAGGUUGGCUAAUCCUGGUCGGACAUCAGGAGGUUAGUGCAAUGGCAUAAGCCAGCUUGACUGCGAGCGUGACGGCGCGAGCAGGUGCGAAAGCAGGUCAUAGUGAUCCGGUGGUUCUGAAUGGAAGGGCCAUCGCUCAACGGAUAAAAGGUACUCCGGGGAUAACAGGCUGAUACCGCCCAAGAGUUCAUAUCGACGGCGGUGUUUGGCACCUCGAUGUCGGCUCAUCACAUCCUGGGGCUGAAGUAGGUCCCAAGGGUAUGGCUGUUCGCCAUUUAAAGUGGUACGCGAGCUGGGUUUAGAACGUCGUGAGACAGUUCGGUCCCUAUCUGCCGUGGGCGCUGGAGAACUGAGGGGGGCUGCUCCUAGUACGAGAGGACCGGAGUGGACGCAUCACUGGUGUUCGGGUUGUCAUGCCAAUGGCACUGCCCGGUAGCUAAAUGCGGAAGAGAUAAGUGCUGAAAGCAUCUAAGCACGAAACUUGCCCCGAGAUGAGUUCUCCCUGAGACUACGAGUCUCCUGAAGGAACGUUGAAGACGACGACGUUGAUAGGCCGGGUGUGUAAGCGCAGCGAUGCGUUGAGCUAACCGGUACUAAUGAACCGUGAGGCUUAACCUUACAACGCC